GGACCUGUGGUGAGCGACCUUUUGACCCUGUCAGGCCUGACACUCAUCACAAAGGGUAUCUGUGGGGCUGCUGAGGACCGUGGCAUGCCUGUGGCCUCGACUUGACUCCCGCUCCACACACGAGAGGAUGUCAAAGACUCGGGGCACCUCUGAGCAUCCGAGGAUCGACCAGUGGCUGCAAACCCGAUUCUGAUGGUGUCUGAAAUCAUCCAUGUGAAUCACCACAGUGACAUAUGGACGUGUACUGGUGUGGUCUAUAAGUUCUUCAGCAGAAUGGCGUCUACUGAGCACCACCUAGAUGGAGUAUAAAACACACAACUCUGGCGUAAAAUGGUCCAGUUGGCCUCCAAAGGCAGAUCCAAUAGGAGGACAGUGGUGUGAAACGUAGCCGUGUUGGGUUUCACAGGUGCCUGAUGGGAGCAGACCAGGUGUCCGUGCUUGUGGCAGGGUCCCGCUCCUUUGUCCGAUGCUGUCCACCGUGGGAGACAUCAACAGAGCAACAGAGAUACGCAUGGCCAUUCAGUAAGCCUCUCACACACACACACUGACACACAUUGACUCGCACUCACACACACAUACAAGGUUUCACACAA
Long non-coding RNA from Alosa alosa (allis shad), 593 nucleotides. RefSeq lists it as uncharacterized. The transcript has 4 exons. The record is from RefSeq and is a predicted model, not a curated record. NCBI's taxonomy places the organism in Eukaryota, Metazoa, Chordata, Actinopteri, Clupeiformes, Clupeidae.